This 286-nucleotide long non-coding RNA is filed under the name Medicago truncatula (barrel medic). Its description in RNAcentral is "long non-coding RNA (MTRU_LNC008289)". The record is from RNAcentral. Lineage: Eukaryota; Viridiplantae; Streptophyta; Magnoliopsida; Fabales; Fabaceae.
UUUUUCUUGGGAAGGGUAAAAGGAGAAAAACCCUUAAAAAGUUCUAGAUUCGGGGGUCGUUUUCGCUACGGGAAGGUGUUAGGCACCCGGAGCGAUUAUGGUAUUCCAUAAGAACCGCUCUCCUAAGUUUAUUUCUACGCUUUAGUUUUAUUGCUUAUUUGUAAAAAAGAAGGUGUGAUUAGUUAAGAAUGGGGGUGAGAAGAAGUAGGAUUUGAUUUUAUUUCGGCUUGGAUGAGUUUUGACUCAUUGCCUACGUACCCUUUUAAGGGAUCAAAACCGUUCGUAG